UACGUAGGCAGCGAGCGUUGUUCGGAGAUACUGGGCGUAAAGAGAGCGUAGGCGGUUUUCUAAGUUUGGUGUGAAAUCUCCCGGCUCAACUGGGAGGGUGCGUCGAAGACUGGGAGGCUUGAGUAUGGGAGAGGUAAGCGGAAUUCCUGGUGUAGCGGUGAAAUGCGUAGAUAUCAGGAGGAACACCUGCGGUGUAGACGGCUUACUGGACCAUAACUGACGCUGAGGCACGAAAGCGUGGGGAGCGAACAGG
This 253-nucleotide ribosomal RNA is filed under the name uncultured bacterium. RNAcentral's name for it is "partial 16S ribosomal RNA". It matches the Rfam family "Bacterial small subunit ribosomal RNA", at positions 524 to 776 of the family's 1533-position model. The record is from RNAcentral.